UCGUAGUGGCAUGCUCUAGACCCGAAGCGGAGUGAUCUACCCAUGGCCAGGUUGAAGCGACGGUAAGACGUCGUGGAGGACCGAACCCACUUAGGUUGAAAACUGAGGGGAUGAGUUGUGGGUAGGGGUGAAAGGCCAAUCAAACUCCGUGAUAGCUGGUUCUCCCCGAAAUGCAUUUAGGUGCAGCGUCGCGUGUUUCUCACCGGAGGUAGAGCUACUGGAUGGUCUAGGGGGCCCACAAGCUUACCGAAAUCAGCCAAACUCCGAAUGCCGGUGAGUGAGAGCGCGGCAGUGAGACUGCGGGCGAUAAGGUUCGUAGUCGAGAGGGAAACAGCCCAGAUCGCCAGCUAAGGUCCCUAAGCGUGUACUAAGUGGAAAAGGAUGUGGGGUCGCGAAGACAACCAGGAGGUUGGCUUAGAAGCAGCCACCCUUGAAAGAGUGCGUAAUAGCUCACUGGUCAAGUGAUCCUGCGCCGACAAUGUAGCGGGGCUCAAGUACACCACCGAAGCUGCGGCAUUCACGCAAUAGCCCCCAGUUGAUCCAAGGAUUUUCUGGCAGGUGUGUGGAUGGGUAGGGGAGCGUCGUGUGGCCAUGGAAGCGGCAGGGUGACCUAGCCGUGGAGGCCACACGAGUGAGAAUGCAGGCAUGAGUAGCGAAAGACGAGUGAGAAACUCGUCCGCCGAAUGACCAAGGGUUCCUGGGCCAGGUUAAUCCGCCCAGGGUGAGUCGGGACCUAAGACGAGGCCGACAGGCGUAGCCGAUGGACAACGGGUUGAUAUUCCCGUACCCGUGUGAACGCGCCCAUGGUGAAUCAGUGAUACUAACCAUCCUGAAGCCACGAGAAGACCUUCGGGUCUCGAGUUGGUGGAUGCAUGGGACCUGAUCUGGUAGUAGCCAAGCGAUGGGGUGACGCAGGAAGGUAGCUGAGCCAGUCAGUGGUAAUACUGGUGUAAGCGUGUAGGGCGUGACCUAGGCAAAUCCGGGUCGCACAUAGCCUGAGACGUGAUGCGUAGCCGAUUGAGGCGAAUUCAGUGAUCCUAUGCUGCCGAGAAAAGCCUCUAGCGAGCUUUCACACGGCCCGUACCCCAAACCGACACAGGUGGUCAGGUAGAGAAUACUAAGGCGAUCGAGAUAACUAUGGUUAAGGAACUCGGCAAAAUGCCCCCGUAACUUCGGGAGAAGGGGGGCCCUGUCUGGUGACGACAUUUACUGUCUGAGCUGGGUGGGGCCGCAGAGACCAGUGAGAAGCGACUGUUUACUAAAAACACAGGUCCGUGCGAAGUCGUAAGACGAUGUAUACGGACUGACGCCUGCCCGGUGCUGGAAGGUUAAGAGGACCGGUUAGUUCCUUCGGGAGCGAAGCUGAGAAUUUAAGCCCCAGUAAACGGCGGUGGUAACUAUAACCAUCCUAAGGUAGCGAAAUUCCUUGUCGGGUAAGUUCCGACCUGCACGAAUGGCGUAACGACUUCUCAGCUGUCUCAACCGUAGACUCGGCGAAAUUGCAUUACGAGUAAAGAUGCUCGUUACGCGCGGCAGGACGAAAAGACCCCGGGACCUUCACUACAGCUUGGUAUUGGUGUUCGGUUCGGUUUGUGUAGGAUAGGUGGGAGACUGUGAAGCGGUGACGCCAGUUAUCGUGGAGUCGUUGUUGAAAUACCACUCUGAUCGAAUUGGACCUCUAACCUCGGACCAUGAUCUGGUUCAGGGACAGUGCCUGGUGGGUAGUUUAACUGGGGCGGUUGCCUCCCAAAAUGUAACGGAGGCGCCCAAAGGUUCCCUCAGCCUGGUUGGCAAUCAGGUGUCGAGUGCAAGUGCACAAGGGAGCUUGACUGUGAGACUGACAGGUCGAGCAGGGACGAAAGUCGGGACUAGUGAUCCGGCACCGGCAAGUGGAAGCGGUGUCGCUCAACGGAUAAAAGGUACCCCGGGGAUAACAGGCUGAUCUUCCCCAAGAGUCCAUAUCGACGGGAUGGUUUGGCACCUCGAUGUCGGCUCGUCGCAUCCUGGGGCUGGAGUAGGUCCCAAGGGUUGGGCUGUUCGCCCAUUAAAGCGGCACGCGAGCUGGGUUUAGAACGUCGUGAGACAGUUCGGUCUCUAUCCGCCGCGCGCGUUAGAAACUUGAGGAAGGCUGUCCCUAGUACGAGAGGACCGGGACGGACGAACCUCUGGUGUGCCAGUUGUUCCGCCAGGAGCACCGCUGGUUAGCUACGUUCGGAAGGGAUAACCGCUGAAAGCAUCUAAGCGGGAAGCCUGUUCCAAGAUGAGGUUUCUCACCCCCUCGAGGGGGUAAGGCCCCCGGCAGACCACCGGGUUGAUAGGCCAGAACUGGAAGUGCAGUAAUGCAUGCAGGUGACUGGUACUAAUAGGCCGAGGACUUACCACAA
This 2384-nucleotide ribosomal RNA is filed under the name Rhodococcus sp. MH15. Its description in RNAcentral is "partial 23S ribosomal RNA". It matches the Rfam family "Bacterial large subunit ribosomal RNA", at positions 694 to 2925 of the family's 2925-position model. The record is from RNAcentral. Lineage: Bacteria; Bacillati; Actinomycetota; Actinomycetes; Mycobacteriales; Nocardiaceae.